This is a non-coding RNA of Parelaphostrongylus tenuis, 75 nucleotides long. The record is from the annotation of a GenBank genome assembly. Lineage: Eukaryota; Metazoa; Nematoda; Chromadorea; Rhabditida; Metastrongylidae.
GCCGCCAGUAGUGUAAUGGAUAGAUCACGCAUUCCCGUAAGGAGUGAGGUGCGGGUUCUAAUCCCGCCUGACGCA